UGGACAGCUAAUACAUGUAAGAGAUAACACUUUGAAUGUGUUCAGAUAAAAAGUGUUUUUUAUAAAUUCACGUGGAUGCACAGUCAAAAAAGAUUUAGAGGCUAAUGUGGCCCUCUUGAAAGACCAGUUUUAGAGUUAUUUGCUUUUAACAAAGAUACACAUUUAAUCUGUUUGCUUAUCAUGGCACACCAGAGUCAGGAAUCUUCCACACACUGUUACAUGUAUGCACACAAAGGUCCUUGCACAUACUGCAUACUUUUACAGGUAUGGAGGCAUUAGUUUACAUAGGCAACCCAUACAUGUUUGGCACAUGCGUCUUAUUCAACAUAACCUGACACCCCAACCCCGAUUUAUAAAUAUCACCUUUCACAAAAAACACCUAAUAGCUUACUUGGCUUUGAACUGGUCUGACGAAUGGACUAUUUUAUAAUAAGAUACUUUUUUUUUGGAAAGGUUUUUACAGAAAGAAAGAUAACUAUUUGUAUUAUUAUAUCUUUUGAUAUUUCAAUGUUGAUUGAUUUUGUAUAUACUGUAUAAUGUAUCUUAUCUUGUGUAACUCAUGAAUAAAUAUGGUGUGUUUUUCAA
Long non-coding RNA from Etheostoma cragini (Arkansas darter), 585 nucleotides. RefSeq lists it as uncharacterized. The record is from RefSeq and is a predicted model, not a curated record. Lineage: Eukaryota; Metazoa; Chordata; Actinopteri; Perciformes; Percidae. The transcript has 3 exons.